GUAGGUGGCAAGCGUUGUCCGGAAUUAUUGGGCGUAAAGCGCGCGCAGGUGGUUCUUUAAGUCUGAUGUGAAAGCCCCCGGGCUCAACCGGGGAGGGUCAUUGGAAACUGGGGAACUUGAGUGCAGGAGAGGAAAGUGGAAUUCCACGUGUAGCGGUGAAAUGCGUAGAUAUGUGGAGGAACACCAGUGGCGAAGGCGACUUUCUGGCCUGUAACUGACACUGAGGCGCGAAAGCGUGGGGAGCAAACAGGAUUAGAUACCCUGGUAGUCCACGCUGUAAACGAUGAGUGCUAAGUGUUGGGGGGUUUCCGCCCCUCAGUGCUGCAGCUAACGCAUUAAGCACUCCGCCUGGGGAGUACGGUCGCAAGACUG
RNAcentral lists this ribosomal RNA (372 nucleotides) under uncultured organism. RNAcentral describes it as "partial 16S ribosomal RNA". It matches the Rfam family "Bacterial small subunit ribosomal RNA", at positions 527 to 896 of the family's 1533-position model. The record is from RNAcentral.